Molecule: ribosomal RNA, 503 nt
Filed under: uncultured bacterium
Lineage: Bacteria
Description: partial 16S ribosomal RNA
Rfam family: Bacterial small subunit ribosomal RNA
Source: RNAcentral
GAUGAACGCUGGCGGCGUGCCUAAUACAUGCAAGUCGAACGAAGAUCUAGCUUGCUAGAUCUUCGUGGCGAACGGGUGAGUAAUACAUAAAUAAUCUGCCCAUAUGACUGGGAUAACUAUUGGAAACGAUAGCUAAUACCGGAUAGGUUGAUUGGAGGCAUCUCUGAUUAAUUAAAGUAGGAUUUCUACACAAAUGGAUGAGUUUAUGGCGCAUUAGUUAGUUGGUGGGGUAACGGCCUACCACGACGAUGAUGCGUAGCCGACCUGAGAGGGUGACCGGCCCCACUGGGACUGAGUGACGGCCCAGACUCCGACGGGAGGCAGCAGUAGGGAAUUUUCGGCGACGGGCGCAAGCCGGACCGAGCAACGCCGCGUGAGUGAUUAAGGGCUUCGGGUUGGAAAGCUCUGCUGUAAGGGAAGAACAUUCAGGAUAGGAAAUGAUCUGGAACUGACGGUACCUGACCAGAAAGCCACGGCUAACUACGUGCCAGCCGCCGCCGUAA